Molecule: long non-coding RNA, 267 nt
Organism: Bombina bombina (fire-bellied toad)
Lineage: Eukaryota; Metazoa; Chordata; Amphibia; Anura; Bombinatoridae
Exons: 3
Source: RefSeq, a predicted model, not a curated record
AUAACAGCACCUCAUGUGGAUUCAGGGAGAGCUGAAGUCCCUGAUAUCCAAGGCGACCAAGUACUGGGGAUAAUUCCACCAGCAGUGGAGGUGGCUAGGGGGGGGGAGGAGGAGGAGGAGAUGCCGCCUUUUGAGGAAGAGGAGGGGGAGUUAUUGGUUGACGAAGCAUUGCCAAGGGAGGAAGAAGAGGAGGUGCCUAUAGUGGAAUAUCGAGAUCAGGGGACACAAACGGGACCAUUUCUGCAGCCGGUGUUUGAUGAACUUGCA